Molecule: non-coding RNA, 21 nt
Filed under: Arabidopsis thaliana (thale cress)
Lineage: Eukaryota; Viridiplantae; Streptophyta; Magnoliopsida; Brassicales; Brassicaceae
Source: RNAcentral
UCGAAUUUCACCAGUGCGCUU